Molecule: transfer RNA, 55 nt
Filed under: Varanus giganteus (perentie)
Lineage: Eukaryota; Metazoa; Chordata; Lepidosauria; Squamata; Varanidae
Description: tRNA-Cys
Source: RNAcentral
AGUUCAGACUGUAUCGAACUGCAAAUUCGAUUUUGGGUUAGAUUCCCCUGGACUU